RNAcentral lists this ribosomal RNA (490 nucleotides) under uncultured bacterium. RNAcentral describes it as "partial 16S ribosomal RNA". It matches the Rfam family "Bacterial small subunit ribosomal RNA", at positions 30 to 507 of the family's 1533-position model. The record is from RNAcentral.
AUUGAACGCUGGCGGCAGGCCUAACACAUGCAAGUCGAACGGUAACAGGAAGCAGCUUGCUGCUUUGCUGACGAGUGGCGGACGGGUGAGUAAUGUCUGGGAAACUGCCCGAUGGAGGGGGAUAACUACUGGAAACGGUAGCUAAUACCGCAUAACGUCGCAAGACCAAAGAGGGGGACCUUAGGGCCUCUUGCCAUCGGAUGUGCCCAGAUGGGAUUAGCGAGUAGGUGGGGUAACGGCUCACCUAGGCGACGAUCCCUAGCUGGUCUGAGAGGAUGACCAGCCACACUGGAACUGAGACACGGUCCAGACUCCUACGGGAGGCAGCAGUGGGGAAUAUUGCACAAUGGGCGCAAGCCUGAUGCAGCCAUGCCGCGUGUAUGAAGAAGGCCUUCGGGUUGUAAAGUACUUUCAGCGGGGAGGAAGGGAGUAAAGUUAAUACCUUUGCUCAUUGACGUUACCCGCAGAAGAAGCACCGGCUAACUCCGUG